This 961-nucleotide ribosomal RNA is filed under the name uncultured bacterium. RNAcentral's name for it is "bacterial SSU rRNA". It matches the Rfam family "Bacterial small subunit ribosomal RNA", at positions 483 to 1444 of the family's 1533-position model. The record is from RNAcentral.
CCAGAAAGGGACGGCUAANUACGUGCCAGCAGCCGCGGUAAUACGUAGGUCCCGAGCGUUNUCCGGAUUUAUUGGGCGUAAAGGGAGCGCAGGCGGUCAGGAAAGUNUGGAGUACAAGGCUAUGGCUCAACCAUAGUGUGCUCUGGAAACUNUCUGACUUGAGUGCAGAAGGGGAGAGUGGAAUUCCAUGUGUAGCGGUGAAAUGCGUAGAUAUAUGGAGGANCACCAGUGGCGAAAGCGGCUCUCUGGUCUGUCACUGACGCUGAGGCUCGAAAGCGUGGGUAGCGAACAGGAUUAGAUACCCUGGUAGUCCACGCCGUAAACGAUGAGUGCUAGGUGUUAGGCCCUUUCCGGGGCUUAGUGCCGGAGCUAACGCAAUAAGCACUCCGCCUGGGGAGUACGACCGCAAGGUUGAAACUCAAAGGAAUUGACGGGGGCCCGCACAAGCGGUGGAGCAUGUGGUUUAAUUCGAAGCAACGCGAAGAACCUUACCAGGUCUUGACAUCCCGAUGCUAUUCUUAGAGAUAGGAAGUUACUUCGGUACAUCGGAGACAGGUGGUGCAUGGUUGUCGUCAGCUCGUGUCGUGAGAUGUUGGGUUAAGUCCCGCAACGAGCGCAACCCUUAUUGUUAGUUGCCAUCAUUAAGUUGGGCACUCUAGCGAGACUGCCGGUAAUAAACCGGAGGAAGGUGGGGAUGACGUCAAAUCAUCAUGCCCCUUAUGACCUGGGCUACACACGUGCUACAAUGGUCGGUACAACGAGUUGCGAGCCGGUGACGGCAAGCUAAUCUCUGAAAGCCGAUCUCAGUUCGGAUUGGAGGCUGCAACUCGCCUCCAUGAAGUCGGAAUCGCUAGUAAUCGCGGAUCAGCACGCCGCGGUGAAUACGUUCCCGGGCCUUGUACACACCGCCCGUCACACCACGAGAGUUUGUAACACCCGAAGUCGGUGAGGUAACCUUUUA